RNAcentral lists this ribosomal RNA (1265 nucleotides) under metagenome. Its description in RNAcentral is "bacterial LSU rRNA". It matches the Rfam family "Bacterial large subunit ribosomal RNA", at positions 1639 to 2925 of the family's 2925-position model. The record is from RNAcentral.
UGCCUGUACCAUAACCGACACAGGUGGGUAAGUAGAGUAUACUAAGGGGCGCGAGAUAACUCUCUCUAAGGAACUCGGCAAAAUAACUCCGUAACUUCGGGAGAAGGAGUGCCUUAUUCUUAAGGUUGCAAUAACAAGAUCCAACAACUGUUUAUCAAAAACACAGGUCUCCGCUAAGUCGUAAGACGAUGUAUGGGGGCUGACGCCUGCCCAGUGCCAGAAGGUUAAAGAAGUCGGUUAGCAAUAGCAAAGCUGGUAACUGAAGCCCUGGUGAACGGCGGCCGUAACAAUAACGGUCCUAAGGUAGCGAAAUUCCUUGUCGGGUAAGUUCCGACCCGCACGAAAGGCGUAAUGAUUUGGAUGCUGUCUCGGAGAGGGGCUCGGUGAAAUAGACUUGUCUGUGAAGAAGCGGACUACCUGCACCAGGACAGAAAGACCCUAUGAAGCUUACUGUAACUUGAAAUUGAAAUUGGACUUUAUUCGCGCAGUAUAGGUGGGAGGCGUUGAUUAUAAUCUUGUGGGAUUAUUGGAGCCAUCAGUGAGAUACCACUCUUGUAAUGUUAGAUUUCUAACUUUGAAUCAUUAUCUGGUCAAAGGACAGUUUCAGGCGGGCAGUUUGACUGGGGCGGUCGCCUCCUAAACGGUAACGGAGGCGUACAAAGGUUUCCUCUGAACGGUUAGAAAUCGUAUCUAGAGUGUAAAGGCAUAAGGAAGCUUGACUGUGAGACCUACAAGUCGAGCAGGGACGAAAGUCGGUCUUAGUGAUCUGACGGUACAGAGUGGAAAGGCCGUCACUCAACGGAUAAAAGUUACUCUAGGAUAACAGGCUGAUCUCCCCCAAGAGUUCACAUCGACGGGGAGGUUUGGCACCUCGAUGUCGGCUCAUCGCAUCCUGGGGCGGUAGUACGUCCCAAGGGUUGGGCUGUUCGCCCAUGAAAGCGGUACGCGAGCUGGGUUCAGAACGUCGUGAGACAGUUCGGUCCAUAUCCGGUGUAGGCGCUAGAAUAUUGAGAGGAGCCUUCUUUAGUACGAGAGGACCGAGAAGGACAUACCUCUGGUGUACCAGUUAUCGUGCCAACGGUAAACGCUGGGUAGCUAUGUAUGGAGUGGAUAACCGCUGAAAGCAUCUAAGUGGGAAGCCCACCUCAAGAUAAGUAUUCUCAUCACGUAAGUGAGUAAGGUCACGGUAAGACUAACCGUUUGAUAGGCAUUAAGUGUAAGUACAGUAAUGUAUGUGCUGAGAUGUCCUAAUAGACCGAGGACUU